RNAcentral lists this ribosomal RNA (497 nucleotides) under uncultured bacterium. Its description in RNAcentral is "partial 16S ribosomal RNA". It matches the Rfam family "Bacterial small subunit ribosomal RNA", at positions 28 to 507 of the family's 1533-position model. The record is from RNAcentral.
GAUGAACGCUGGCGGCGUGCCUAAUACAUGCAAGUCGAGCGAACAGACGAGGAGCUUGCUCCUCUGACGUUAGCGGCGGACGGGUGAGUAACACGUGGAUAACCUACCUAUAAGACUGGGAUAACUUCGGGAAACCGGAGCUAAUACCGGAGAAUAUAUUGAACCGCAUGGUUCAAUAGUGAAAGACGGUUUUGCUGUCACUUAUAGAUGGAUCCGCGCCGCAUUAGCUAGUUGGUAAGGUAACGGCUUACCAAGGCAACGAUGCGUAGCCGACCUGAGAGGGUGAUCGGCCACACUGGAACUGAGACACGGACCAGACUCCUACGGGAGGCAGCAGUAGCGAAUCUUCCGCAAUAGGCGAAAGCCUGACGGAGCAGCGCCGCGUGAGUUAUGAAGGUCUUCGGAUCGUAAAACUCUGUUAUUAGGGAAGAACAAAUGUGUCAGUAACUAUGCCCGUCUUGACGGUACCUAAUCAGAAAGCCCCGGCUAACUACGUG